This 589-nucleotide ribosomal RNA is filed under the name uncultured bacterium. RNAcentral's name for it is "bacterial SSU rRNA". It matches the Rfam family "Bacterial small subunit ribosomal RNA", at positions 338 to 944 of the family's 1533-position model. The record is from RNAcentral.
CCUACGGGAGGCAGCAGUGGGGAAUAUUGGACAAUGGGCGAAAGCCUGAUCCAGCAAUGCCGCGUGAGUGAUGAAGGCCUUCGGGUCGUAAAGCUCUUUUACCAGGGAUGAUAAUGACAGUACCUGGAGAAUAAGCUCCGGCUAACUCCGUGCCAGCAGCCGCGGUAAUACAGAGGGAGCUAGCGUUGUUCGGAAUUACUGGGCGUAAAGAGUACGUAGGCGGUUAUUCAAGUCAGAGGUGAAAGCCCGGGGCUCAACCCCGGAACUGCCUUUGAAACUAGAUAACUAGAGUCUUGGAGAGGUUAGUGGAAUUCCGAGUGUAGAGGUGAAAUUCGUAGAUAUUCGGAAGAACACCAGUGGCGAAGGCGACUAACUGGACAAGUACUGACGCUGAGGUACGAAAGCGUGGGGAGCAAACAGGAUUAGAUACCCUGGUAGUCCACGCCGUAAACGAUGAUAACUAGUUGUUCGGUCACUUGGUGACUGAGUGACGCAGCUAACGCAUUAAGUUAUCCGCCUGGGGAGUACGGUCGCAAGNUUAAAACUCAAAGAGUAUGCGUGNGAGACGAGCGACGACGACGACGAGGAG